Molecule: long non-coding RNA, 652 nt
Filed under: Androctonus crassicauda
Lineage: Eukaryota; Metazoa; Arthropoda; Arachnida; Scorpiones; Buthidae
Source: RNAcentral
GUUUAAGCGAUACAUAGACGGGCAGCAUGGGCGGCGGCUCGGCGAAGCCGGGACAAGCACCUAAACCUUACUCUCUGCGGCGUGGCAGCAACGGAUCCGCAGGUUUUUGUGGCGUUGCAGCAGCAAAGCGUAUAGCAAGGAGGUUUUAUAGCCAGACAGUGUACAGGUACGGUCAGUCUAGACCAGUGAUUCUCAACCUGGGCGAUAUCGCCCCCUGGGGGGCGAUCGAAAACUUACAGUGGGCGAUUAUUUGACUAUACGCUUUUGGGAGGCGAUAGUCAUUUUGCGUGGGCGAAGUCAUUUUGAUUACCCGCUUUCAGUGAUGGGCCGCUGCAUUUUUAUAUUGCGUUGUGAAAGAAGCGAGUAAAACAUUUUGUAAAACAAUAUUGUUAUCCUUUGGUAUUUAAUUGCUACAGUGUAUAUUCAAUGUUUUAUAUGUCUCCCUAACGGGCAAAAUUAAUUGGAAUGUGAAUACAAAGUUGCAUCGUACAGUCCGGUAUUGCAAUCCCUAGUGCGCAUGUCUUAGAUUCGCUUUGCGUGUGCAACGAUUUCAAUCAUUUAGUCGAGCAGUCAGUAAUGAGUAUUAUUAAAUUUGAAUUUUAAUAUGAUCUGUUGUGCUCUCGCCAUAUAUGAUAUUUGCAUUAUUUUUAAA